RNAcentral lists this non-coding RNA (88 nucleotides) under uncultured Enterocloster sp. RNAcentral's name for it is "TPP riboswitch (THI element)". It matches the Rfam family "TPP riboswitch aptamer (THI element)", at positions 6 to 93 of the family's 105-position model. Rfam says of the family: Vitamin B(1) in its active form thiamin pyrophosphate (TPP) is an essential coenzyme that is synthesised by coupling of pyrimidine and thiazole moieties in bacteria. The record is from RNAcentral. Lineage: Bacteria; Bacillati; Bacillota; Clostridia; Lachnospirales; Lachnospiraceae.
UUUUCCCGGGGUGUCGCACAGCGGCUGAGACGGCUUUUAAGCCGGACCCGUUAACCUGAUCCGGUUCACACCGGCGUAGGGAGUGAAA